GAUGAACGCUGGCGGCGUGCCUAAUACAUGCAAGUCGAGCGAACAGACGAGGAGCUUGCUCUUCUGACGUUAGCGGCGGACGGGUGAGUAACACGUGGAUAACCUACCUAUAAGACUGGGAUAACUUCGGGAAACCGGAGCUAAUACCGGAUAAUAUAUUGAACCGCAUGGUUCAAUAGUGAAAGACGGUUUUGCUGUCACUUAUAGAUGGAUCCGCGCCGCAUUAGCUAGUUGGUAAGGUAACGGCUUACCAAGGUAACGAUGCGUAGCCGACCUGAGAGGGUGAUCGGCCACACUGGAACUGAGACACGGUCCAGACUCCUACGGGAGGCAGCAGUAGGGAAUCUUCCGCAAUGGGCGAAAGCCUGACGGAGCAACGCCGCGUGAGUGAUGAAGGUCUUCGGAUCGUAAAACUCUGUUAUUAGGGAAGAACAAAUGUGUAAGUAACUAUGCACGUCUUGACGGUACCUAAUCAGAAAGCCACGGCUAACUACGUG
This 497-nucleotide ribosomal RNA is filed under the name uncultured bacterium. Its description in RNAcentral is "partial 16S ribosomal RNA". It matches the Rfam family "Bacterial small subunit ribosomal RNA", at positions 28 to 507 of the family's 1533-position model. The record is from RNAcentral.